This 30-nucleotide non-coding RNA is filed under the name Mus musculus (house mouse). The record is from RNAcentral. Lineage: Eukaryota; Metazoa; Chordata; Mammalia; Rodentia; Muridae.
UGACAUCUGGAGCCGGAUCCUCCUGGCGUC